RNAcentral lists this ribosomal RNA (368 nucleotides) under uncultured bacterium. RNAcentral describes it as "bacterial SSU rRNA". It matches the Rfam family "Bacterial small subunit ribosomal RNA", at positions 29 to 427 of the family's 1533-position model. The record is from RNAcentral.
AGCGAACGCUGGCGGCAGGCCUAACACAUGCAAGUCGAACGCACCUUCGGGUGAGUGGCGGACGGGUGAGUAACACGUGGGAACGUACCUUUUGGUUCGGAACAACACAGGGAAACUUGUGCUAAUACCGGAUGAGCCCUAUGGGGGAAAGAUUUAUCGCCGAAAGAGCGGCCCGCGUUAGAUUAGCUAGUUGGUGGGGUAAAGGCCCACCAAGGCUCCGAUCUAUAGCUGGUCUGAGAGGANGAUCAGCCACACUGGGACUGAGACACGGCCCAGACUCCUACGGGAGGCAGCAGUGGGGAAUCUUGCGCAAUGGGCGAAAGCCUGGCCCAGCAACGCCGCGUGGGUGACGAAGGCCUUCGGUUGUU